AAGUGUUUCAGAUUGGGUAAAACCAAACAUAGAAAUAUGUAUUGUGUUUUCAUUAGAAUCAGCACAAAAAUUUACACAUUAUUUUCCAACAGAAAUAGCAUUCCAAGUGGUGUUUUGAGCAUUAGCCUAGCCCUUACGUGUCUAUUUUCUCCAAAAUAUAUUUUAGCUACCUUACUCUGUGAAUAUUAUUUAUAAUAACGUUUCUCAAACUUGAGUAAUGCAUGUAUAGCAUUAAAGAAAACUUCUUCAAACUCCCAGGACUGGGAAAAUAUUUUUAAUCACAUUUUAGUUAAUCAUACAUAAGUUUAAAAGUAGGUACAAUCUCAAAGUAGUAUCAUUCUUAUAAAAUUACAAAUGAAAUAAAAACAAAACAAUAACAAAAUAUACAAAAUAGCUCUAGUUUAAAAUAACAAAUGAUGCUGCUUUCUUGAUACGGUAUUGUUUCUCUGACGUGUAUGGUAAUAUAUGUCAUAAUAUUAUAUUACAUGUGCACUUGUGUUGUUACAUGUACAGCAACUUUCCUACCAAAAUGUCUUUUCAAAUAUUUAAAGUUGGUAAUACAGGACAUUUUGAAAUUAUUUGGCCUUCAUUUAGCAUGAUGGAACAUAAUAAGUCCAAUAAAUUUAAAAUAUAGUGUACUGUGCCAAAAUGAUUACACAUGCAAAUAGAAAAGCAGACAUUGGAACUGGCUGGUCAUAUUUCAUUAAAUAUUUUAGAUUAUUAUUGACAUCAAAACAAAAAAUAAGAAUUGUCAGUCAACCACUAUACUCCUAAUUUCUGGAGAUUUUAUAAUCUUAACCUGAAACAUAGUUUGUAUGGGAAAAUGCAGUCCAAAUUUAAAACUAGAUUAUUAGAAUUGAUAUGCUCCAUACAGAUGUCUCAGAAGUGGACCUGGGCAUAGUCACAAUGCUGAACUCUAUCUCUUAGUAAGUGGCUAUAUCUGCAGAACCCAAGCAUCAUCUUUAAUCAACUCUUCCUAGUUGAUGCCACUAUAAAUUAGGGAACAGACCCUAAAUACACACCACCCCAUCUCUUGAUUUCUUAUGGAGUUGACCCACAAAUUUCCCGCUUAUAGAAGACCUAGUCCCUAUUCUUAAAUCUAAUAAUCAUAAAGAUUUAGAGAGAGGAUGGAUCUCAAACUAUAAUCUUAGUCUUCUGAAUUUAGGUCAGUCAGAGUCCAAUAAGAAGCUGUCUAUUCUCAUCAAACAAUGACAAACUCCAAAGGUCAUUCAGGGAAAACAUAAAUCAUAAAGCAAAGAAAAUAUUUUUAAAAGUUUUAAGGGAGGAAGAGGCAAAACAAAAUGAACAGGUAGCUGAUGCUAGCAUGCAAUUGUUCAGAUGCCUGGGUUUGCCAAUUGAUCAGUCUCAUACAAAUCAACAUGGGAGCUAUCACUAAAGGUUGAUAUCAUCUCAUCAAGUAAGGCCAAGUUAGCAAUAUCUAAUUUUUGUACCAGAUGAGGCAGUCAGAAAAAUGUGUGAGCUGAAUCUUUUUCAGAAGCCAAAAAUGAGUCUGAAUAGAAGCAUAUAACCUAGACAUUCAGCAGGCUUCUUCCAGUGACAGCUCUACAUGUAGACACAAAGCAUACUUAUCUUCUCUCUAUACGCACACACAUGUGUAUCCAAUUUAAUAUGCUGCAUGAGAAAUAAUAUACAUUUCAAAAUAAUAUACAUGUCAAAAAGCCUGAAUGGUGCUUUUGGAGGCAGAAAGAAACUCAUAUUUUGCUUAAAAUUUUAUUUAUUUAUUUAUUUAGUCUUUUGCCUUUUUAGGAGCACACCGGUAGCAUAUGGAGGUUCCCAGGCUAGGGGUUGAAUCAGAGCUGCAGCCACUGGCCUACGCCACAGCCACAGCAACGUGGUAUCUGAGCCACAUCUGCAACCUACACCAUAGUUCACUGCAACGCCAGAUAAGGCCCACAUCCUCGUAGAUACUAGUCAGAAUAUUUAAACUUGUUUGGCAAAUAUGGUAGUUUAGCUUAGCUUGUUGAGUAUUCACCAAGAUAUCCAAAACAAACAUGCAUGUUUCUAAACCCCUCCCUGAACAAGAUUUUUGUUCUUUCCAUUAUCUAUACAUUCCAAAAGGAUCACACAUACACAUAUAUAUACAGAAAUGAUAGGCUAACUAUAAACACACCAACAAAUUGGGAAUUCACAGGUGACCUCUGACACAAAUGGUUAUUUUAUCGGACCCAAAUAUCUCACAUGUUAUGCAAUUCAGAUUAACUCAAAAGAAACAUGCAGUCAAUACAGGCAGCUGAGGUUAAGCUUUUAGCUUGAUCUCUUUGAUUUUUCCCUUUCAUUUCCGAAUGACACAAGUCAGAUUCCUUCCCUUCUGAGAUUUUCUCAUCAAACUCUGAUUUUUUUUCUGUUUCAAACAAGUCCUUGAUAUACUGUCCAUACCCUCCAUCGCCUCUGGCAUUUCUCUGUGCCUCCCUCAAAGAUUGCCAGGAGGUGAAGGUGCCAGGUCUUAGGCACAGACUCCUCCUCUGGCACAGUGCCCAGAGCUACAAAGGGCUUCCCCGGUGGUAAAAACAAACCACAGAGUAAAUUUAAUAUCAGGAACAUAUUUCUGUGGUCACUGAAAUUUGCUCAAACUCAUUGAAAUCAAGUCUCUGACUCAUGGACUCAAAAAUCAGACUUAAUGUUGUUUUAAGGUAGUAAAUUCUCCUGAUUAAAAGUCGAUGAUCUACCUGACAUGCUAUUAAUUGCUGAAGAUUAAUUAGACCAGGAAUAAGAAAAUGAGAAUGAAAACAACCUAAGUUCACAUAUGAUCAAUGAUAUAUUCUUCACAUUACAAUUGCUUCACAGGAUAUAUUAUCUUCGUCCACCUGUCAGACCAUCAACGAAAGCCUCCUGCAUCUAAGGGCAAUAAGCAAAACGGCAGGCAACAUCAUAUAAAAAUACCAGCAGGAAGUACAUUUGUUGUGGCAGCAAAUGUUACAUCCUUAUUAUCAGGAGAUAUUACCUGAAUGUCAUCACUAUAAAGCCCUUUCCAUUUGCUAUAAUUUGUUACAGAAUAAAGGGGUUUGUGAUAACAACCAGGUGAGGCACAGCAUGGAAGAUGUGCAACCGUGUCAUUCCAAAAUGAAAAUAAUUUAUUGCUUUAGAGCAGUCUAUUCAAAUAAUGGCUGAAGCCCACCAUUCCACUGCAUUAUUAUCAGGCCACAGCCUUCUGCACAGAAAUGUGUUAGCCAAAUUGUUCUCCAUCACUAAACUAUGCAUUUAGGAUUUAUGUGAGGUGAAUAAAUUACUCAAAAAGAAUCACCUCCUCAAAAAUAUCAAUGCUAAGUUGAAACUGUAAUCAUUUGAUGCUAAUAUGUGUAGUGUGGUUACAGAGAGAUACCAUUUCUGUGAAAUCUAAAGAGAAAAGCUAAUAAACCACUUUCAUCUAGCUUUAAUUGAGACUGCUUUUCCGCUGACGAAACUGCUAGCUAAAGCACAGAUUUAAUAAAGAUUUAGUUCUUAAAGUCUAUAUCCCCCCAAACGAACAAUUUCUAAGACAUCAAAAGUGCCCUGUCAUGUGGCAUAAGCUCUGGUAAAUACCUUUUAUUACAUUCAACAGAAAAAUGGACUAUUUAAAUAAACUUCAGGCAAUCAGAAUCAUACACCUGCCUCUUUGCCUACUUUUCUGUUAGAAAAAAUUGCCAAGUUAUAAAUGAGAGCCUAGCAUGCGGCACUCUCUAUAAACACUGUGUGCCUCUGGGAUUUAGGUGAGAGCUAGCUUUGGAAACAUUUCCAAUUACAACACUCCUUUAAAGGUAUAAAUUGGAUUUGUCUUCAUACUUCUGGAAAAUACAGGCAAAUAAUCUACUUUGUAGCCUCAGGCUCAAUAAGUUUCUUUUCCCUUUCUUGUUUCCACUUUAUUUUUGUUUUUGUUUUGGGGAAAUCACAAGUAAACAGAACAGAAAGGAAGAGCUCUUUCUUGAUCAUCAAGAUAGAAAAUAAUAUAAAAAUAUGACACUGUACCUCAGAAAUGGAUUUCAUUUCCAAGAACACUUCAGCUUUGCCCUGAUACACUGUUGGUAGCUGACCACCCCCUGAGUUUUCAUUGACAGCUCCCUGCAUUUUAAGUGAAAUCCCUACCGCCUGCUCAUACAGUAUUGCACCCACUGUGCAGUCAAAUGUCUUACUGGGCUGAAAGGUACAAAGUACAACCUGGGAUGCCUUCGUGAUAAUAUCUGAGCAGACGAACACACUCCCUGGAAUUACAUGGGGCAAUUUGUGUGACAUAUAGUUUCCUGUCUCAGGUGCCAGAAUAUAUAUAUUUUGUGACUCAUAUUGGUGAUCUACUGAUUUAGUUCAACCCCAGUUGAUUUGGAGAAUUAUAUGCAUUAAUAAACUGGUGAUUCAAAUUCUUGUCAAGAAAAAGUAGCCAGUAUGCUUUAAUCUGGAGUUAAUCUGGAACAAAAGAUAAAAUUAUUCAACCAAAAUAACGAAAAGAGUCCUUGACAAAGUCCUAUCCAAACAUAAUCUAACUUUAAAAUAGGUUUAUGGCUCAUUUUUGUAAAUGAAAAGUAGCAAACUUAUUACCCUUCUAGUUAAGCAAUGUUUGUUCCUCAAAAAUUGUGUGUGUGAACCAAUAUUUUUCUAAAUAAACCUAUCUUUAAGAUAACAGUAAUAAUCUGCCACAUUAUCAUCUUCACCUUGAAUAUAAACCUUUACAGUCUUGAAGCAAUUCAUGCACAGAUUACCUCAUUUGCUUAUCAUGUUAAACCUUCAAGGUUCAGAAACUAUCAUUUAUAGUUCUCUAAAGGGACUCUCUGCUAAGUCAUUUCUUGAAACCAAAAUCAUUUUGCAAAUUAAAGAUUCUUGAUUCCAUAUAAUCUACAUAUAAAAUAUUAAAUACAUAAAUUAAAAUUAUUACAACACUUCUUAGUUUAAAUAUAACCAAAAUCCACUUGAAUUAUAGCAUUGGUUUGUAGAUGCAAACUAUUGCAUUUGGAGUGACUAAGCAAAGAAAUCCUGCAGUAUAACACAGGGAACUAUAUCAAAUCACUUGUGAUGGAACAUGAUGGAGGAUAAUGUGAGAAAAAGAACAUAAUAUCUGUAUAAAUGGGUCACUUUGUUGUACAGCAGAAUUUGACAGAACAUUAUAAAUCA
This 5097-nucleotide long non-coding RNA is filed under the name Sus scrofa (pig). Its description in RNAcentral is "lncRNA (ENSSSCG00015025571.1)". The record is from RNAcentral. Lineage: Eukaryota; Metazoa; Chordata; Mammalia; Artiodactyla; Suidae.